UAUGGACACAUGUGAAUUUAUAAAUGAUUUAUAUGGCGCAGAGAGAAGAAAACUUGAUAGCGUGUAACCAAUAUAGCAAAAGACUUGCAAGGAUUGUGUUAGCUUGAUAACAGGUACCUUUUCAAUACCAUUCCUCUCUGAUGUAUAACAAUGUUACAUGGUAAAUAAAGAAAAAGCUGUCUGUUUUGCUAUUCUUGAGUGUUCAGUCUAAAUUCAGUGUUAUCAUCGUUGACUUGUUCAAUUGUUAUGUUGGUACCUGAAAAUUGCCCCAUGCGAACUUUGAUUCAUUUUCAAACGAACCAAGGACUAUAAUGGUUUCGUCCAGACCAGUUUGUACGGAAAUAGACGAUUUAGUAUUGUUGGCUCUGCGUUUUGCUUUCUGAAAGUCUGAUAAGCACUAGAAAUAGAGAAUUUGCCUUUAAUAUCAUAUUUUUAUCUUACUAUUGGUAGUGACUAAUACAUUUGGUGCAUUAUAACUUAUAUAAAUUCUUACUAAGACGCCUAUUUACAAGUACACCAUUACUCAGAGUUACUUUGUACAAACAACAUUGUAAAAGGGACCUAAGGGGUUAUGAUCAUUCCCCAAUUACAAAUAACAGAAACAAAGUGAUAAUUCCUAUUCUGCAAGUGUCACCUGCCCAGUAUCACACUGGUGCUUUGAUGUCAUUAAUUGUCCUAUUCAGAUCGAUGUUAAUCUUCCCAAAUUGCUUGUUCUAAAAAAAAAGUACCCUUCCGAGUUCUGAGUAAAUGUUGAUUGGAAAACUAUACAAUAUUCCUGAGCUGCAGAAGACGUUUCACGCACAACUCAUGACAUAUAUGGUCCCUUUGUUAGGAUUGAUUCUUUGCUUCUUCUUAUUUUAUGUUUUUUACCUUUGUAAUUUCGCUUUAUACAGAUAAAUUAUACAUUUGUUUCAAUCCAUUCUUUAUGUUAUUUCUGAAUGAUCUUGCUGGAUAUUGAAAUGCAGAUCUACUACUGUAAUGAUUUGCCACAAGAGCUCUAAAUUAUAUGGAACUGUCUCCAUAUCUGACGUCAUUCCAACUACUGGUUUGGGAUGUACUCACCUUUGGUUGCAAAGUGCAGUUCCUCUUGGGUUAGUAAUCCUUGUUUUUUUUUUUUUUUUUUUUUCUUUUCCUUUUUUUCUUGGGAUCAUUGUUAGAUGGUAUGGAGGAUAAUAUUUCUCUUUAGAUAUAUCAGACAUGUUCUUUCUCAAUCCACCACGCUACGGUCAAGCUUGAGUUGGUCCCUUUUACUAAUAGUUUAUUAAUUACUCUUUAUACUUGGAUGUUAAUAUUAAGGAGAAAAGUGUGUGCUAAUUCCUCAACUGUUUGUUUGUUUAUGUUUCCAUAAUGUAUCCUUGUUGUAUGCUCUAAGGAAGAACUUUAGAUGAAACACUUUCAACUAAAUUAGCAGGUCACUUCUCUGCUAUUCCUAGAGAAAAUACUAAUUUAAUGUUGUACUCAAAUUAACAGGUCUGGCCUAUAACCCAGAGCACUCACUGAAGAUUUAUGCGACUUCUAGAACAAUGUUUGUGGCAAAUCCAACUACUGCACUCACAGGGUUGUCCAUCCAUGUUUCCUUUCUCCCUUUGGACGCAAAUAUUAUUCAUGCCCAGUUUAAUUCAUCCCUACAAAGGUUGAUGAGUCACGUUGUUUUUUUUUUCUUUUUUGGUAUAGGAAACACAUCGAAUGGAAAUAAGAGACCCAACUAAUUGUAGGGGAGGUAUAUAGAGUCCAGUCAGGUAUUUAUUUUUUCGUUGACAAAAAUACUCAAUUUUUUUUUUUUUUUUUUUUGAUAUAUUCCUACAAACAUGUUACUAGCAGUUCUCUUAUUGCUUAAAAACUUCCAUCUUUGAUUUUGCAGGUUCACUUUUAACCGAGCAUAUGAAAUAGAGCUAGCGAAUCCAACUACUUUGUGUGUUUGUAACUCCCAUCAUAUAGAGUCGACAAAAUUCGUGAAAACGUUCUGGCCAUGGUAUUUGAAGUUUGAAAUUUAAAUUUAAAUCCCUUGAAUAAGUGUAUACCUUCAAUUAACCUUUUACUUGUACUAUGUUAAAUACAUAUGAAAAUCCCAUUUCCUAUGUAUGGAACAAGAUUAUAUAAGUUUAAAGUUGUCGACUUGAGUUGCAGUGCAUGCCAUUUUUAUUUUUUGUUACUAUUAUUGCAUGGUCCCAGAUAUGGUACUAGUUAUUGUG
This 2192-nucleotide long non-coding RNA is filed under the name Aquilegia coerulea. RNAcentral describes it as "long non-coding RNA (ACOE_LNC001649)". Lineage: Eukaryota; Viridiplantae; Streptophyta; Magnoliopsida; Ranunculales; Ranunculaceae. The record is from RNAcentral.